RNAcentral lists this long non-coding RNA (268 nucleotides) under Mus spicilegus (steppe mouse). RNAcentral describes it as "lncRNA (ENSMSIG00000032144.1)". The record is from RNAcentral. Lineage: Eukaryota; Metazoa; Chordata; Mammalia; Rodentia; Muridae.
AUGGUAUUGCCUUCCUCAGUCAACCAUAACGAACACAUCCCUCUCAACCUGGCCAAGUGUAGAAAAGGCUUCUUCCAGCAAUUUGUUGGACAAGUGCUGCGGAAGAUGGCAAACUUUAAGGAAUUCAUUAUGGCAAAGAUGGAACUUAUCUGAUGAUCGUUGCAAAAAGCACCAAUCUUCCAUGAUUCUAUUGUUUGUGACUUGGUAAACAUAGACUGCAAGAAAAUAAUUAAAUAAAAGUAAUUUUAUAUCAAUUUUUUGUCUUAGU